AUGUCGGUCAGCACUCCCUCCCCCUCCCUACAGUCGUCCAGCUCCACCCAUCUGAGCUUCCUCCAGGUAGCACUCACCUGCACCGUGCUUCCCACACUGUCGUGCAUCAACAAGGAGGCAAGGUGCUUCUCCUUCUCACCUCGGCCAGUGGCUUCUCCUCCUGAAGCUAACACUUUCAAAAAGACUACAAUAUCUGCUCUGUACGUACCUUUAGCAGAAUUAGGUGAUGAAAAAUAUUGCUCCUUUUAUGUAUUGUUGAUUCCAUACUUUUUUCUGUUCUUAGAAAAAACUCAUAUGCAAUAG
RNAcentral lists this ribosomal RNA (303 nucleotides) under Triticum aestivum (bread wheat). RNAcentral's name for it is "partial small subunit ribosomal RNA". The record is from RNAcentral. Lineage: Eukaryota; Viridiplantae; Streptophyta; Magnoliopsida; Poales; Poaceae.